Molecule: ribosomal RNA, 253 nt
Filed under: uncultured bacterium
Lineage: Bacteria
Description: partial 16S ribosomal RNA
Rfam family: Bacterial small subunit ribosomal RNA
Source: RNAcentral
UACGUAGGGUGCGAGCGUUAAUCGGAAUUACUGGGCGUAAAGGGUGCGCAGGCGGUUCUGCAAGUCAGGCGUGAAAGCCCCGGGCUUAACCUGGGAAUGGCAUUUGGGACUGCAAGGCUGGAGUGUGGCAGAGGAGACUGGAAUUCCCGGUGUAGCAGUGAAAUGCGUAGAUAUCGGGAGGAAUACCGAUGGCGAAGGCAGGUCUCUGGGCUGACACUGACGCUCAUGCACGAAAGCGUGGGGAGCAAACAGG